RNAcentral lists this ribosomal RNA (140 nucleotides) under uncultured eukaryote. RNAcentral's name for it is "partial 18S ribosomal RNA". It matches the Rfam family "Eukaryotic small subunit ribosomal RNA", at positions 1299 to 1458 of the family's 1831-position model. The record is from RNAcentral.
UGGUGGAGUGAUUUGUCUGGUUAAUUCCGUUAACGAACGAGACCUCGACCUGCUAAAUAGUUGGGCCAAUCCUCGGAUUGGUGAUUAACUUCUUAGAGGGACUAUCGGUGUGUAGCCGGUGGAAGUUCGAGGCAAUAACA